This 925-nucleotide ribosomal RNA is filed under the name Agaricus sp. 1 MH-2017. Its description in RNAcentral is "eukaryotic LSU rRNA". It matches the Rfam family "Eukaryotic large subunit ribosomal RNA", at positions 37 to 949 of the family's 3401-position model. The record is from RNAcentral. Lineage: Eukaryota; Fungi; Basidiomycota; Agaricomycetes; Agaricales; Agaricaceae.
AGCAUAUCAAUAAGCGGAGGAAAAGAAACUAACAAGGAUUCCCCUAGUAACUGCGAGUGAAGCGGGAAAAGCUCAAAUUUAAAAUCUGGCAGUCUCUGGCUGUCCGAGUUGUAAUCUAGAGAAGUAAUGCCCGUGCUGGACCGUGUAUAAGUCUCCUGGGAUGGGGCGUCAUAGAGGGUGAGAAUCCCGUCUUUGACACGGACUACCAGUGCAUUGUGGUAUGCUCUCAAAGAGUCGAGUUGUUUGGGAAUGCAGCUCAAAAUGGGUGGUAAAUUCCAUCUAAAGCUAAAUAUUGGCGAGAGACCGAUAGCGAACAAGUACCGUGAGGGAAAGAUGAAAAGAACUUUGGAAAGAGAGUUAAACAGUACGUGAAAUUGCUGAAAGGGAAACGCUUGAAGUCAGUCGCGUUGGCCGGGAAUCAGCCUUGCUUUUGCAUGGUGUACUUUCUGGUUGACGGGUCAGCAUCAAUUUUGACCGCUGGAAAAAGGCCUGGGGAAUGUGGCAGCUUCGGCUGUGUUAUAGCCCCUAGUCACAUACAGUGGUUGGGAUUGAGGAACUCAGCACGCCGCAAGGCCGGGUUUCGACCACGUUCGUGCUUAGGAUGCUGGCAUAAUGGCUUUAAGCGACCCGUCUUGAAACACGGACCAAGGAGUCUAACAUGCCUGCGAGUAUUUGGGUGGAAAACCCAAGUGCGUAAUGAAAGUGAAAGUUGAGAUCCCUGUCGUGGGGAGCAUCGACGCCCGGACCAGAACUUUUGGGACGGAUCCGCGGUGGAGCAUGUAUGUUGGGACCCGAAAGAUGGUGAACUAUGCCUGAAUAGGGUGAAGCCAGAGGAAACUCUGGUGGAGGCUCGUAGCGAUUCUGACGUGCAAAUCGAUCGUCAAAUUUGGGUAUAGGGGCGAAAGACUAAUCGAACCAUCUAGUA